CUAUUUCUUGUUGUUUCUUCAAUGCUCAACUGUUCGUUAGUUGCCAAAUUCUUACAGUGUGUUAUGAUAUCAUUAGCUAUUAGUUCUGUUACUUCUGCACGGAUUGUAAACUAAAUUGCCUGUCGCGUUGAACUGACUUGCCAUUUAGCAUUUUGAUUUGCCACAUAGAGUCCCGCACAGUUAAGCACUUUUGUUUUCCUAUGUUCGGUUUCAGACUGCAUGAUUCUGGGUGACGAAGAAAAUCGAUCGGAUUCCCACUGAUAUUUCAUGAUUAUUAAUAACCAGAUUCUGACGGAUCAUGCGGUCUCUUCAGUUUAAAUAAUUGUUUGCUCAUUUGUGUGUUUGGUGUUUCAUAGGUAGACUCAUGCUUGGCACAUUAUUUGUACUUGGCACAUUAUUUGUACAUUUGUGUUGUUUUGCUAGCUUGAGAUGUGCAUGAAUCUGGGUGACGAAGAAAAUCAAUCGGAUUCCCACUGAUGUUUCAUGAUUAUUACAACCAGCUACUUCUGACAGAUCAUGCCAUCUUUUUUGAUGUGCACAUUAUUUUGUUUUUAACCGAUGGUACUACUUGCAGUACUGACUGAGGGUAAUUUUUUUUACCUCUACUUGAUUCAGUGAUUGGCCUAGUUUCAAUUGUGUGUCGUUUUAUGUUGCUUUGGGCCUGUGAUGUUAGCUAUAUAUUUGCUACUCUUGAUGGGAUUCUCUCCCACUUGAUGAUGUUAACCACCAAGAUCUCUGAGGCUUAUAGUUCUGGACUUGUA
Molecule: non-coding RNA, 761 nt
Organism: Lolium perenne
Lineage: Eukaryota; Viridiplantae; Streptophyta; Magnoliopsida; Poales; Poaceae
Source: RefSeq, a predicted model, not a curated record